AGCCAAUGAUGCUUUAAAGAAUAAGAGUAGUGGACAGAAGUGAUUUCUGAGAACUCUAUUCUGAGGCU
Molecule: small nucleolar RNA, 68 nt
Organism: Chelonoidis abingdonii (Abingdon island giant tortoise)
Lineage: Eukaryota; Metazoa; Chordata; Testudines; Testudinidae
Source: Ensembl